GAGUUUGAUCAUGGCUCAGAUUGAACGCUGGCGGCAUGCCUUACACAUGCAAGUCGAACGGCAGCACGGGAGCUUGCUCCUGGUGGCGAGUGGCGAACGGGUGAGUAAUGCAUCGGAACGUAUCCUGGAGUGGGGGAUAACGUAGCGAAAGUUACGCUAAUACCGCAUAUUCUGUGAGCAGGAAAGCGGGGGACCUUCGGGCCUCGCGCUCUUGGAGCGGCCGAUGUCGGAUUAGCUAGUUGGUGAGGUAAAGGCUCACCAAGGCGACGAUCCGUAGCAGGUCUGAGAGGAUGAUCUGCCACACUGGAACUGAGACACGGUCCAGACUCCUACGGGAGGCAGCAGUGGGGAAUUUUGGACAAUGGGGGCAACCCUGAUCCAGCCAUGCCGCGUGAGUGAAGAAGGCCUCGGUGUAAGACGUCUUCGUCGAGG
Molecule: ribosomal RNA, 432 nt
Filed under: bacterium enrichment culture clone ALO1_GLFRUDD03HIO3W
Lineage: Bacteria
Description: bacterial SSU rRNA
Rfam family: Bacterial small subunit ribosomal RNA
Source: RNAcentral